Molecule: non-coding RNA, 87 nt
Filed under: Streptococcus ictaluri 707-05
Lineage: Bacteria; Bacillati; Bacillota; Bacilli; Lactobacillales; Streptococcaceae
Description: S. pyogenes small RNA Spy491738
Rfam family: S. pyogenes small RNA Spy491738
Source: Rfam by way of RNAcentral
AAGUCUGUUUCAGAAAACAGAAACCCAGGUCAAGUAAGUGUUCUCACUUACAAUAACACAGUUAAUGAUGGGGCAACUCAAAGUUAA